UACGGAGGGGGCUAGCGUUGUUCGGAAUUACUGGGCGUAAAGCGUACGUAGGCGGCUUUGUAAGUUAGAGGUGAAAGCCCAGGGCUCAACUCCGGAAUUGCCUUUAAGACUGCAUCGCUUGAAUCAUGGAGAGGUGAGUGGAAUUCCGAGUGUAGAGGUGAAAUUCGUAGAUAUUCGGAAGAACACCAGUGGCGAAGGCGACUCACUGGACAUGUAUUGACGCUGAGGUACGAAAGCGUGGGGAGCAAACAGG
This 253-nucleotide ribosomal RNA is filed under the name uncultured bacterium. RNAcentral's name for it is "partial 16S ribosomal RNA". It matches the Rfam family "Bacterial small subunit ribosomal RNA", at positions 524 to 776 of the family's 1533-position model. The record is from RNAcentral.